RNAcentral lists this long non-coding RNA (11499 nucleotides) under Gossypium barbadense (sea-island cotton). RNAcentral describes it as "long non-coding RNA (GBAR_LNC016760)". The record is from RNAcentral. Lineage: Eukaryota; Viridiplantae; Streptophyta; Magnoliopsida; Malvales; Malvaceae.
AUUAAAUAGACUCACCUCUCUUCAAGAAUUGACCAUCGGAGGUGGAGGAUGCUCAAACGUGGUGUCGUUCCCAGGAGAAGGGAUUGGAAUGAUGCUGCCUCCUUCUCUCACCUAUAUCAUGCUUUUCCAAUUUGAGAACCUGGAAUUCAUGUUCUCCGAGGGCUUUCAAGAUCUCGCCUCUCUUGAAAGACUGGAAAUCAGUGAAUGUCCCAAGCUAACAUCUCUUCCAAAAAAAGACGUGCUUCUCUCGCUUGGAUAUUUAAGUAUUUACAGUUGUCCGUUGCUGAAAGAAGAGUGCUCUUGCGAUAAAGGACGAGAGUGGUCUAAGAUUUCCCACAUACCCCUUGUUGUAAUUGAUGAUAAAGCAGUCAUCCCGAGGGAAUCAGAUUGAAAGAUGAGCCGCAAAAUCUGUGAUUGGUUUCUUCAGAGUGAUGGGAGAGGUACAAAAAACCAUUUCAAACAAGUCUAACUUUCCUUAGGAACAAGAUAAGAAUAGGAAUCAGUAUAAAUUUAUUGAUUUAUAUUUGCAGGGAUUGAAACAAUUCUAAGUUUCAGUAUUUUCAGAUGUUUGUGAACUUCUUUCUUGGCUUUUGGAGUAGCAUUAGAUCAUCGGUUUUUGUAGAAUGUGAGCUUUGUGUAUUGUUUAUUUUAUUCUUUUACUGUACUUUUUUUAUAUGUACGAUAUAAUAGGGAAGAAUAAGAUGAACAAUUUCACAUUAAACAUCAAUCUUAUAACAUUUUCCUUAUUUUCAAUAUAUCUUUACUUAUCUUCUAUUUUGGAAAAUUUAGGCAAAAACAUCAAACUUUUGACCAUUUGACUAAAAAAAAAUUAAUACGUCGAAAGAAUACACAUUUUGUUUUCUUAAGAUGCAUUUUUUGUUUCUCUCUCCAAAAUAUAUCUAUUUCUCCAAAUUUAAGAAAUAUCGACCUAAUUCCCUAACUUUUUUUUUAUUUCAACAUUUUUAUCCAAUUUUCUCUUAUUUUUCUAUUUCACUCUCUUUUUUUUUCUUUUCUCUUUCAAUUUUCUUUCUUUCUUUUCUUCCUAUUCUUUUUCUCUCUUUCCCAACCUUAGCUGUCGCUAGCAUGCACUAUAGCCGCACUACGACAUUUGUUCUUCUGUCCAAAUAAUGGCAUUGGUCAACUCUUUUCCUCAUUCUCUUUCAUUUCCAAAUAAUGGAGUUGGAAAGUGCUUUUGAAAAGUACUAUGGAAAAGUGUUUUUGAAAAUUGCUGUGGAAAAGUGCUUUUGAGAAGUGCUUUUGAGAAGUGCUUUUGAGAAGUGCUUUUAAGAAGUACUUUUGAAGUUUAAAAUUUGAGUGUUUAGCAUUGUUGUCAAAAAGUACUUUUGAGAAAUAAAUGUUUAUUUUAGACAUGUUAUUAUAAAGUAACAAAUAUGUAUUUAAAUAUUAUUUAAAUUAGUUAAUAUUAUUAUAUUUUAGUAAGAAUAUAAAAAAAUUAUUAUAACUUGUUGUUAAUAUUUUAAUAUAUGAAAUAUAAAUUUUAAAUAUUUUUAAGCAAUAAAUAUUAAUUAUUUAUAAAAUUUAAUUAGAAUAUAUAAACUAUAUUUUAAAAAUUUAUAAAAGUUUGAGCAACUCAUCAUUAAGAAUUGCGGUGGUGCAAAAUUCUCAUCUUGGAUGGCAGAUUCUUGUUUCAAAAGUUGAAGUGUUCAGAGGCGCAUUUAUCGAUUUAUUCAAUAGUUUGGGUGAGUUAUGUAUAGUUCUAAGUAUUGUAUUUAUCCUCUUCUAUACUUCAGCUAAUGCGAGACGUAAAGCAUCAAUGAAGAUUUUUGUCUUUUUUUGAUUGUCACGAUCCUUUUUUGUUAAGCUGAAAUGAAAAAAAAAUCAGCUUAAAAUAUGAAAAUUUUGAUUUUAAGAAAAAUAUGGAUUUUAUUAAAAAAAAGGAGUUGUCACUGAAUAUUUUUAGUUAGGUGUGAUAGAUGACCUAUAAAAUCACAUUUUAUAAAAAAAAUUUAAAGUCUCUCUAAAAAUGACAAUUACGCAUAGGAAGAGUUAUAACACCCUUACAACUACCAAAAUUGGUACCUUAUUGAUUAUGUGUAGUUUGAUAAUCCUAAAUUUUAAAUUUAUAAAAUAUGAUAUUUAAUUAUGAUCCAUUUAAUUAAUUACAUAUAUAAUAAAAAUACUUUUAUUUCUAAAUGAAUUAAAAUUUUAAAAUAAUGUUCGGUAUCUCCUGUCCAUAAAAAUACCAAAAAAAAAAUAUUAAUAAGCAAAACUCGUGGAUUUACUUGGUUUGGAAAAGGAUAUCCCAUUGUUAAUAAACUUAUCUUCUAUUUUGGAAAAUUUGGGCAAAAAGGCUGAAAAACAAAUUAGAGAGUUAGGCUGAAAUUUUCUAAAUUUAAGGAAAUAUGUCGAUUUUAAGAGAGAAAUAGAAAAUGCGUCCUGGGAAAAGCACUUUCUGCAAAACUAAUAUUUUUGACAAAUUAAUAUUUUUUUACAAUAUAUUUAUUAAAGAGAAAUUGAACUCGAACACUCGAUAAUAAAACUACUAAGAUUUGACCAUUUGGCUAAAAAAAAGCUAAUAUGUCAAAUGAAUAUACAUUUUGUACAAAAUAUUUUUCGCAAGAUGCGUUUCUGUUUCUCUCUCCAAAAUAGACUUAUUUUUCCAAAUUUAGGAAAUACCGACCUAAUUCCCUAACUUUUUUUAUUUCGGCAUUUUUAUCCAUUUUUCUCCUUCUAUUUUUCUAUUUCACUUUCUUGUUUUUUUUUCCUUUUUCCUUUUUUUAUUCUUUCCUAUUUCAAUUUUAUUUCUUUCUUUUCUUCAUAUUCUCUUCCUCUCUUUCCCAACCUUAGCUAUCGCCAGCAUGGACCACACCUGCCCUUCGACAUUUGUUCUUCGAUCUAAAUAAUGGAAUUGGUAAACUCUUUUCCUCAUUCUCUUUCAUUUCCAAAUAAUGGCUUUGUGGUUCUCCUUCAUCGAUCACCUUACUCUUGUGUCGUCACUGCUUGUUUCGAUGUUGUCAUUGAUCGAAGAAGCCACCAAACGGUCCACAUUUCCUUUUUCUCUCAUGCUUCUUUCUACUUUAUUUUUUGUUUUUAAAGCCCUUAACUGUCGUUUCAUUGUCGUUGCUCUCCGUCGUCGAACCGAGCCACCACCGUCAAUGGCCUUGCUUCUAGUCAACAUGCACUGCUACUUAGCCUCUUGUUUCUUUCCUCUUUUUACUAUCGCUAAUAAGUGAUAAAAGUAAUAUAUUAUAAUCCCGUUCUUAAAGCGUUUUUGGAUGAUUAUUUAUGUAAAUUAGUGAAUUUUAUGCUCCUAAUCUUUUGAAUUCAUGUUUCUAUACUUAGGUGAGCAUUUAGGAGUGAAAGGAGCAAAAAACGAGUGAAAAUUAGACAAAAAGAGAAGUUUUCAGGAGCCACAUGUGCUAGACACACGACCUUAUGAUCCACAUGGGCUGGACACAUGGCCAUGUGCCAGACCGUGUCGAUUUCGUAACUUGCUUCCCAAACACGCCAAAAAAAUGCAAUUUUUAGGUUUUCUAAGUAUUCUAAAGUCUAUAAAUACCAAAUAUAAGAAAAGAGAAGGGGAGCCAUCUAAGAAUAUUGAAGGAAACAACUCGAAGAACAUCAUUGGAGCCAAAUCUGAAGUAUAUUUCCAUUAAGAUCGAAGACCUCUUUUUAAUUUCUUUUAAAGUUUUUAUGAGUUUUUUUUAUUUCUUGUGGUUAUUUUGAAUUUGAGAUGUUUUUAUUCAGAAUUAUGAACUAGUUCCCUAGAUAUUUAGUGAUGGUGAAACUUACGACGAAUUCUAUUAUUUGAUUUCUGUUUUACGCGAUAAAUACUUUAUUCUUGUUCUCAAUUAUGUGUACUUAUCUCUUGUUUUAAUAUUUCCAGGAUAUUAAUUCAUGUUUAAUAUGCUUAAAUCAGAGGAGGAAAAGUCUCUAUUUAAAAGUAGAUCUAGCAUAAUUAAGUGAAGUUGCAUGCAGUCCUAGAAAUAGGACGGCAUAAAUUUACCGGAUUAGAGUCAAAUCUAAUAAAGGAAUCCAUAGAUCGAGUUAAUGCGAUAAUAAAAGUUUUAAUUAGAAAGAAAUUUUAAUUAAUUAACCUAGAGUCAGUUGCUCUUACUCUCGAAAGAGAUAUUAGUAUAGUUUAGGGAUUUCUACGGAUCAAGACACCAAGUGAAUAAAUUAUUUAAUUCAGAUUCGUAAUAAUAGGUGAAGUCUAGGUGGAUUCUUUCCUGGGUAUUGUCUCUCUCAUCGAUUAUUAUUUGGUUAUUUUCCUGAUUUAUUUCCUAUUGAGUUCUUAGUUAGAUUAAUUUAGUAAAUUUAGUUUAAAAGCAAACACUCCAAUUUGUUGGCUAAAUAAUAGGAAAACGACAAUUACAAAUACUUUUAGUCCUCAUGGAUACGAUAUCUCUACUCACCAUAGCUAUACUAUUUAUUGAUAGGUGCACUUGCCUUCGUCGUAUUUUUAGUUAGUCAUGUGAAAACACAUCAGUCGCCGCUCUUGUCUAACUGAUAACUCUAAAAUAUAAAGUUAUCUUUAGCACUUCUAGAUUGGUAAUUCAUGCAAAUUUUAAGUGUUUGGUAACAAAUUUUGGGAUUUUUAUGAAAACUUUAUCUUGUUGAAUAAUACUAAGAUAAAUUUGCUAAUUUAAUCAUUUUAUACACUAAAACACAUGAUUGCAGUUUUUGAGACAAUUGAUGCACCGGAAGAAAAGACAAUUUUGAAGUUCACCCUUUUGGUGCAAUGUUGUAGCAUUUCCACAACAUAAGCCAUGUAGAAGAGGGUUGAUAUAUGGUCAUCUUUGGACCAAAUUAAAGACUUAUUAGACUUUGAAAAUUCUCUUGACCCAACUCAAGAAUUGGGUCAACAAAUAUGGAUUGCUUGCUAAGUAGAUAAGAGCCCAAACCAUCUUUAAAAAUAAAAUAUAUGCCCUUUUAAAAAAUAUAUAUGCUAUAAAAUUAAAAUACUAUUAUUACCCUAUAAAAAUAAUAUUUUAAACUUAAAUCAUGUAUGGGAGUGUGAAAAGCCAUAAAAAAUUAGAUUUGUGUGUAAUUAUUUGCAAUUAUUUGCACAAUUAAUCCAAUUUUUAUUCUGUAGUUAGUUGCUCUAAUUACACUUGGGAACGUUUGGUUAGUUGAAAUCUUAUAUGACAAUUUGUAAUAUUACAUUCUUAAAUGAGAUUACGGUGUUUGAAUUUUUUAACAUUUUGGUUAUCUCAUUCUCACAUUCUUGAAGAGUAAUUAAAAACCAAAAUAACGUUAUGUUAUCUCAUAUUAUGGAUGGAAGACAAAAUUAACCUUUAUUUUUAUCGUAUUAGUGAAUAUAAUUUUCCCAAAAUAAUUGUAAUUAAAAACCAAAAUGGUUUUUUUCUUUCUUUCCUCUCUUGACAUUAAAAACCUUAGCUUAACUUUUUCAAUUUCUUCAUGAUGGAAAAAAAAUAAAUCACAGAUUGUGAGUAAUGCAUAAAAAAAUGUCAUAAAAAAAUAAAUAGAAAAUUAUGUGAAUGUGAUGAUUAUCACUCCAUUUUCGAAACAUUAAAAUUAUAUAAUUGUGAAAUUUUUAGUUUCAGAUCUCAAAGGUAAUCAAUUCCUCAAAAAAUAAACCAUAUAAAUAAAUAAUUAUCAUAAUUAAAUUUAGAAAAUUUUGAUCUGAAUUUAUAUGAUAAAUUAAGGUGUAAUAAAAAUUAAUUUCUUAAAUUAUUAUAAUUUUAUGAUUUUAUUUAAGCCACUAGACGAUUAAUGUAACACCCCUCACCUGAUCUGAUCCUCGGAUUCAAGUUACAGGAUGCUAUAUCAUUAUUGAAACUUUAUCACAUGCGUACAUAGUUCCAAGCAAGAUCGGUUUCAUGACAAUUUACAACAUUUACAGAGGUGUUCACGGCUAAACAAUCAUACAACUUCAGAAACAGUUUAAUACGUGUUUAGGGACCAUUGAGCAAAAUUUCAAAGAAAUCAACGUGGGUAUUGAUACACAAACUAAGGUAUCCAUAUUUUGUAAAACGAGUAUCGAUACUAACAAGAAAAACGAUACUAACUUAGUAUUUUGUCAAAUCUUGAAUCUAAACAUUUUAUCGAUACUCAAGUACAGGUAUCGAUAUUUUUACCUUGAGUAUCGAUACUCGUGAAAAAGUAUUGAUACCAAAUUAAGCUACUAUUUUCCUGCACUAUCAUUCCAACAUUGAGAUAUCAAUACUUAUAAUUUGAAUAUCAAGAACUUUGUUCAAAUCGACAAAAAUACCGAAAAACAGGGAAAAAUUCGUGCUCAAACAUUUUCCUUUUCAACACGCAUCCUCAACACAAUGGGUGAGUUUGGAUGGGCGGUGCGUUUACCUAUGAUUAGUGUAAAAAUAACGGUGGCGGUGAAAUUAGAUACGGUAGCGAUGUCUAACAUCCAAUUGACCAUACUUAUAACCCAAAACAACAUCAAUACUUCAACAAUUCAGACCCAAAUAAAACCAAUAAAAUAAGGAUAACAUCCAACACAAUUCUAAAAUUCCAAAAUCAUAAUAAACCAUUAAGAACAUAAAAAUAACCUUGGACAUCCACCUCUCAUCCCGACCUCGGCCCCAUCCUCCAACCCCGAGGUCGACUGCCCUUUUCUCAAUUAUUGGUAGAUAAUAUUAUUGUAUUAGAACUAAAUCUUUAUAUUAUUGGCUGAAUAUUAAGUGAUCAUCUAUUCUUCCCACACCUAGCUUCAGCUAUUUAGCUUGGACAGCAUCUAAAAUUAUUUGUUAUUCUAAUCUUAAUUUUAGUUGAUAAAGCAGUGUCGCUUUAGCCGAGUGGUUAAGGCGUGUGCCUGCUAAGUACAGGUAAUAUUUUUGUCAACCCCAGAAGAGAUGCCCACCACCGGCGACGUCAGGGGCGGGUAUUGGUGUUGAUGGAGCCUUUUUCGACAGUUGCGUUCUUGGUCUCCUCUAUUGAGGUUUUCUUCCUAUGUUGGCAGUGCUGGGAGUUUUGUGGUGGUUUAGCGACGGCUUCAUUCGCAUCUCGUUUAGCCUCUCGAGCUUUGGCCUUCUCCGCCUUUCGCCUCUUCCUUUCUAGUGCUUCCUUAGCUUUAGCCGCUUCCUCUUCCUUACUCAAUUCCUCCUUCUCUGUUCUCUUUCUGUAGGAGCAGAUUGCAUAUACUUCUUUUGCUCCACAACCUUUUCCGCAAGUACCUUUUCAGCUUUUACCACCGCCACUUCCUCUUGCGUUCGAUCUUUCAAAGUUAAGCCAGACAUUGUAUGAUCCACGAACGCUCUUCCAUUUAGUGCUCGAGGAAUUACAGGAGGCACUUCACCAGGACCAAGUGCACGGCCAUCUAAUGUCCUCAGUCUCCAAAGUGUGCUCCUUCCAUUGCAUCUAACAUAUUCAUUUCGAAAUUCAUCAUUGUUAUUCCAUAAGUCCGUAAAUUUCUCCACCUGAGCCAUCAACUGUUUAGAUAAAAUAUUGUACAAAAUUCUUGAUUUGGAAAAAAUAGAACAAAUGCACGACCUCACCUGGUUAAUACAAAAACUUUGGAGUGCCACUUUAUCCCCUUUCCAAGCCAACUCAUUCGCUUUAUUUAAAUCAUCCAUGUGCUACCGAAAGUGUUUGUUCUGCAACAUUCAAACAAGAGUAGCGUCGGCAUAUCUUUAUCUUAGUUUAUCAGUUUCGAAGAGCAAUGUAUUGAAUCAGAACCAGAACGAAAAUGCAGGUUUGUCUAUGAGUCUCGGAUAGGAUUAUGUGUCCAACACGAUUAUGUUCGUUCACUCUAAGCUUACAGAAUUUAAAAGUACCUUCUCAUGUGAUUGUUUCUUCAAACAUUGCAACUGUGUAUACACUUCUUGUUGGAUGUCAUUUGCAGCUUUGAACUGGUACUGCAAUUCGCUUAACUUGUCGGUUUCCUCAUAGUAUUUUCCCUUAGCUGCCUUAGUGAUCGCCUCGGUGUUUUUGAGUCUGGUUUUCAAUUGGUCAGCUUCCUUCUUUAAAGACUGUAGAAACAGAAGAAUCGAAUAAGCAACCAAAACAUAAGUAAGUUGAAUUUUUUUCCCUUGAGAUUUCCAUCAUCAUACCCAAAUAAACGUUGAUGUGGAAGCACUUUUUUCCUUAUAUAUUUAUAUAUUUGAUACAAACACAAAGUAAAUAACAUUACCAACCGGCUAACCAAUGGAUCUUUGCCACGUUUACAGAAAAAUAACAUAUUAAUUAGUGAUCAAGAUGCGUACAUGUGAACAAUGACAUUAAAUGUAUGUCCUGUGGGUGUGCAGGAAAGAUAAAUGGUAGUGUAGGCAUUGUUUAUUGACUGGUAGCUGAUAAGAAAAUAUAGUAGAGCUGCAGCUUCUGUUUUCAAUGCUUAUGCUCCAAUAAUAGACUCAUUUAAUUUUAGAAAUCCAAAAACUGUGACCUGUUUUCCCCUUUCCUUGUGUUUUUCCAAUCUCAUUUGCCACUAGUCAUUGACUUCCCUUGCCUGUUAACCCCAAUUAUACACAAUCCAUCUCCAUUUCUUUCCCUCAAUUUCCCUUUCCUUCUUCACCUCUCUCUUUGAUUUCUUUGUCCCAAUUCCACCAUGUCUGUCUCGGAGAGGCUGCUCUUUCUGCCUUUUUGGAGCUGUUGUCUGCCAAGUUGCUUGACUUUGUACUCAACUUUGUGGCCGAUCACCGGUAAGUCCACCAGCAACUCAAGCUAUGCCAAUCCAUAUUACCUAAGAUCAAAGCAGUGUUGAACCAUGCAGAGGAGAAGCAGAUCAAGGACGAGGGUAUGAAGAAUUGGUUAGACGAUCUCCAAGACUUAGCUUAUGAUGAGGAUGACAUCUUGGACGAGUUCACUUACCAAGAGUUACAUCUCAAGCUCCAAAAAACUCAAGCACAAGCCAGCACUAGUAAGGUACAAAAACUCAUUCCAACCUGCUGUACUGAUGGUCAUUUCUCUCAAAUCGCUUUUAUGUUCAAUGCUAAGAUGAUUUCAAAGAUAAAAGCAAUCACUGAUGGACUGAAUAGUUUGAACACUGGAAGAAGUAGUUCGGGGUUGAGUGAGAUCAUGUCUCAAGGCGCAACUUCCAAGGGAAAGAAACCCAGGCUGCAACCAACUUCCUUGAACCCAGGCUGCAACCAACUACCUUGAUGGAUGGAGCUGUGGAGUAAGUUGGUAGAGCCAAUGGGAAGCAAGAAAUGCUUGAGUUGCUCAAAAGUAACAAUUCCGAUGGAGUUUGUGUCCUUUCCAUCCUUGGCAUGGGAGGGAUAGGGAAAACAACUCUUGCUCAGCUUGUUCACAAUGAUCCCAGCAUUAAGGAGUCUUUUGAUCACAAGUCCUGGUAUGGGUUUCUGAUGACUUUGAUGCUGUUAACAUAACAAAGACGAUUUAAGAUCCCUCGAUGCUGACUCACAUGAUGAGAAUGACUUGAACUUGUUUCAAGUCAAGUUGAAGGAGAGGUUAUCCGGAAAAAGGAUGUUGCUUGUUUUAGAUGACAUUUGGAAUGAGAGUUACAGUGAUUGGACCAUCUUACGGGCUCCAUUUGGAGCAGGAACCAAGAUUAUUGUAACAACUCGACUCUAAAAGGUUUCAUCUAAUGUCGAUUCGGCGAAAGCGUUUUACUUGGAUAAACUCUCGCAUCAUGAUUGUUUAUCCAUAUUUGCUCAGCAUGCAUUAGAGAAUUGAAAAAAUUACGGUUAUCUAAUUUUUUUAUAGGGGAAGGUAAUGGACAUCUUAUUAGAGAAUUGAAAAAAUUGUCACACCUUAAGAGGUAGCUUUUGUCUUUCUGGAUUGGAGAAGGUUAAUGGUAAGAUGCGAGGGAAGCUAAGUUAAAUGAGAAGCUAGGGGUUGAUGGGUUAGAACUACAAUGGGGUGCAGACUUGGAGAAUUGUACAAGGAAAAUGAAGUUGAAGAGCGGGUGUUGGACUUUCUUCGUCCUCCGAAAAAGCUUGAGCAACUCAUCAUUGAGAAUUACGGGGGUGUAAAAUUCUCAUCUUGGAUAGCAGAUUCUUCCCUUAAGAAUUUAUCAUCUUUGAAGCUUCGCAAUUGUAAAAACUGCAAGUCACUACCAUCAAUUGGAAGGUUGCCACUGUUAAAAGAUCUUUCAAUUAUUGGUUUCGAUCAAGUACAAAAGAUUGGUGUUGAGCUCUUCGGAGAAAAUCAGUUGAAUCCAUUUGCAUCAUUAGAGAUUCUAUAUUUUCAGAGUCUUCCAAACUGGGAGGAGUGGGACACUUGUGAAGGAGACGAGAAGGUUUUGAAACUCCCCAGCCUUCGUGAGCUUUCAAUCAAAACCUGUCCUCAAUUGUUGGGAAGGUUGCCUACCCAUCUUCCUUCCUUGUAAAAACUUGAAAUUCAUAGGUGUAUGAGUUUGGUUGUUUCAAUAUCAAGUUUCCUGUUUCUUUGUAAAUUCAGUAUACGAGGGUGUGCAGAACUGGUGGAUGAUUGCUCUUCUACUGCAAAGGACCUUUCCUCUUUGCAAACUAUGUCUGUUUCUAACAUUUCAAAGUUUAAUAUUCCAGCAGAUAGGACAAUGUUGAGGUUUGGAAACUCAGAACAUUUUGAAAUUGAUGGUUGGGAGGAGUUGGCAUCUCUAUCACGGUAUGGGUUUAGUUUAGUUGGAUAUCGUUUCAUUUCCGUUUGGCGUUGUCCUCAACUACAGUAUUUGGAAGCAGAGGAAGCCGAAUUGCAACCUGACAAGAUUUCAUGUGUUGAAUCUCUGCUGAUAUAUGACUGUGAAAGGCUCAAUAGACUGCCACAAGUCUUACAUGAGCUCAUAUUUCCUACAGUGAUGGAAAUUGGUAAUUGUCGAAGCUUGGUUUCUUUUGCAGAGAAUAACUUACCUCCUAAUUUAAAAAAGCUGAGAAUUAGAAACUGUGAGAAUUUGGAGUAUUUGGUUGAUGAAAAAGAAGAUAAUAUUUGCAAUCAGUUUCAACUUCUCCAAAUUACCGAAUGCUCAAAGUUGAGUUGCCUAUUUUCAAACACCAAGUUUCCCAUAACACUUAAACAUUUGAUAAUUAGGGAAUGUCCAGAGUUGGAAUAAAUAGCCCAAGAGUUUUAGGAAAUCGCUUGUCUUGAAUCUAUUCUAUUUUUUAGAUCUGGAAUUAAAUCUCUACCACGAGAACUAGACAAGCUCAAACAGCUCCAGGAGAUUUGGUUGCUUUCGUGUUCAAAUUUGGUUUCUUUCGAAGAAAGUGGGUUGCUCACCACCAGCUUCAGAGAUUUUGUAGUUGAUGGUUGUGGAAAUUUUGGAGCCCUUACUAAGUGCAUGGCCAGCAUCACCUCCCUUCGACGAUUUAAGGGGGCGCACUGUAUGGCUGACAUAUCAUUUCCAUUGGAGGGAUUCCCUGCCAACCUCGCAUCACUUGCAAUCUCAAAUGCACCCAAGAUUUAUAGGUCACUUGUGGAAUGGGGAUUAAGUAGACUCACCUCUUUUCAAGAAUUGAUCAUCAGAGGUGUAGGAUGCUCAAACGUGGUGUCGUUCCCAGAAGAAGGGACUGGAAUGAUGCUGCCUCCUUCUCUUACCCGUAUCAUCCUUUUAGAAUUUGAGAACCUGGAAUACAUGUCAUCCAAGGGCUUUCAAGACCUCGCCUCUCUAAAAGAAUUGGACAUCGG